Molecule: ribosomal RNA, 253 nt
Filed under: uncultured bacterium
Lineage: Bacteria
Description: partial 16S ribosomal RNA
Rfam family: Bacterial small subunit ribosomal RNA
Source: RNAcentral
UACGUAGGGGGCAAGCGUUGUCCGGAUUUAUUGGGCGUAAAGAGCGCGCAGGCGGUCGAUCAAGUCGAGUGUGAAAGCCCCCGGCUCAACUGGGGAGGGUCAUUCGAUACUGAUCGACUCGAAGGCAGGAGAGGGUAGUGGAAUUCCCGGUGUAGUGGUGAAAUGCGUAGAUAUCUGGAGGAACACCGGUGGCGAAGGCGGCGUUCUGGACUGCAACUGACACUGAGGAACGAAAGCCAGGGGAGCAAACGGG